CGGAAAGUAGCUAGACAUAUGUAUGAAGACAUAUUCUAGACAGGUUAACUAUUUAUUAACAACCCUGGAGACUCCGCUCAUUGCAGCACCAUCAUCACAUCAGCUCAACCUGCACAUUUAGAAAACAUAUGCAGGGCUGAGUACAAAAGCACUCAGUGGGCACGUAUGCCUAGGUAUAAAAAUACAUACUUCAAAACUGUAAAUUGUCAUGCCAUCAUAAUCAGUACAGCAAGGGAGUUUUUCGCUAAAAAGGCCCAAGCUUACUAAGUUCAUUUGUGAUUUCUUAAAGUUCGUCUGAUCAGACUAAGUUCUUUUGUAAUCUAUCAUAUCUGAAACUGUGUGCCGGAGAGGUGGCCACCUCUCACGGUCACUUGACCGGCCAACCCGCUAGAUGACUCACGGUCACUGGUGUACACUAGCCCUGGCAGGAUAGCUAUCAACUGCUCAGGACCCGAAUUCGAUUGCAUCAUUGGCAAAGCCAAAGCAGAUAGAUAUCAUACUAAAAUUUAAACAUUUUAUGGCAAGACAAUACUUGAAAUAACUUUAACUCAAAUAUUUUGUAACGAAAUAACUUGCUCAAAUGUAACAUUAAACUCAUUUGAUAGAUAUAUAUAAAACUGAAAUUAACAGUUAAAUCAUCUCAUGCAUUCAUUCGUAUAAGAGGCCUACGACACGCAGGGGAUCUCUAUAUACGUAUAGUAAAAGUAAUGCCCACCUCGUUGUGUCUCUGUAUCAAUGAGUAACGUCACUCUCUCCCUCAAGUCGUUACUUCCCAAAAGGACCUUCAUCGUUAUGAAGAAUUGGUGAGAAGUUAUAAAAGAAACCUCGAUUAAUAAUCUAAUUUCUUUUAUGAAACAUUAGUAUCUCUAAUGUUCAUCUCUCUUGAUUGUUAAUCAAUAUAACAAUUAUUAUCUCUCGUCAUUACUCAUUAAUUAUAACAUCCUUAUGUUAUAAUUAGCAGCGCUUCAAUUAAAAGAAAUAUUUAACACAUCGAAAAGUCCACUUUCUUAGCAGAUCUAUUCGCUCUCAUCUCGUCUAAUUACCAAUUAGAAAGUUAAACUUUCCAUUAGGCAUGUAUUUGAGUCACGGGUCAACAAGAAUUGACUAUGCUCAAAUUCUAAUUUCACUAAAAAUUUCGGCAUGACCUAUUCAUAUAUAAUGUCAGCCACGAGAUUUCAACGCGUGAAUCUCACUACGUGAACUCGUCUCUCGACUCAAAACUUAACAUCUUGACAUCUUUUCAACGCAAACCAAACAAUUCAAAAUCAUCAAAACUCUUUAUCAGUAAACUAUCAUUUAUACUCGACACCAAUUGUUCGAGUGUCAGAUACCAACAUUUAUGUGCGUUAAUCAUAACUCUCACAACUCACACCAUUUAGUCAUAUCGUAUCAUCCAUCAAAACAAAUAUAAUCAAGUUGUUUUCUAGAAAGUUUUUGCUGUUUUUGUGUCAUCUUUAAAAAUUCAUAACAACCAACUCAAUCAUCAUAAACUCUCAUACCAAUUGAUCUCAAAAACUCCAUGAAGUGUAGUUCACUCUAAAAAUGGUAGUUAACCAAAAAGGUUAAAGGUUUUUGGAGAUAUUGCUCUUUUAGUGCAGGCUGUCAAAGAUUGACAGUUUCUGCCAAUUUUGUUUAGGCCAUUAGAAACCAAGGCAAACCUUAAUAAAAUUCCAUCAAAUUUAAUCAGCCAAAACUAAAGGUAUCCUUGAAGAUUUGGUUAAAAUUUCACAAGAGAAAACGUUCAUAUGAUCUGCCAAAUAAACAAUGAAACUCAUACACUUUUACUGUUGGAAAAAUAUGACAGCAGAACAGGGCAUUUUUGAAAUAAUAAACUGCUCUGUUUCAGAGGUCAUAAAAAUCGAAAUCUUAUGUUUUUAGAAAAGUAUUGAAGUCUAGUUUCGUUUAAAAAAAACGGUGAUGCAAAAUCCUUCAUGGAUUAAUAGAUAUAAACGUUUUUGUGAAGUCUACCAACAGUUGACAGAUUCUGUCAAGGUAUUUUUUUCAAAAUAUACUUUAAAAUACCAAACAUCAUCCAAAAGACAUGAAAUUUUGCAGCGACGAAAUACACAUAUCAUAGAUAAACAUACUAAAAUUUCAGAGCCAUCAAGCAAUGAAAACUCAUCGAAACAUAAGCUUGAAACUGCUAGUUAAAAUUUUGACAGAAUUCCUAGUUUUAAUUUCGUUCAACAAUUAUCAUCCAUAAAUUGUAAAUCAAUUAGCAUGCUCAUGUGAUAUCGUAGAACACAUAUACGCAAUAAUAUUCAUUAUGCAACGUCUCAAACUUCACGAAUUUAAAUAAUCAUACUCUAAAAAUUUAUACAAUUUUCGUGCUUGGAAAAAUACGAAUUUAAUAUAUAUCGAUUCUAGCAUACCCCUAAGCACAAAUAUCAAGUCAAAACGAUCAAACAAAAAUCGAAAGACAAGCUAAUAUGUGAAAAACGGGGCUGCCCUCAUGGGUUUCAUAGCUACGGUUCGUUCCGUUCUUACUCCCUUCAUUAAACAUGCUCAACAUCUACCCAAGAACAACAUACUAAAAUUUCACGACGAUCCGACGUCGUUUCAAAAUAAAGUCGAGAAUCGACGUUUUUCGACGUCGACGAAAAUCGAGAAUAAAACCAUCAAAACGUAGGUAGAGAUCUUACCUACUUAGAUACAUGAUCGAAAAGAUGAUCGGCGCUCGUCUCGGUGCUCAAAUCGGAGGUCAAAAGCUCCAACACCAAAGAAAAUGGUGUUAUGCGUGAAGUGUGUGUGUUUUAGGUGUU
Molecule: long non-coding RNA, 2762 nt
Filed under: Salvia miltiorrhiza (redroot sage)
Lineage: Eukaryota; Viridiplantae; Streptophyta; Magnoliopsida; Lamiales; Lamiaceae
Description: long non-coding RNA (SMIL_LNC002373)
Source: RNAcentral